UACAGCGUGGUGUAGUGGUUUGAGUGCUGGACUACAACUCUGGAGACCAGAGUUCAAAUCCUUGCUCUGCCA
Phrynosoma platyrhinos (Desert horned lizard) is the source of this 72-nucleotide non-coding RNA. NCBI's taxonomy places the organism in Eukaryota, Metazoa, Chordata, Lepidosauria, Squamata, Phrynosomatidae. The record is from the annotation of a GenBank genome assembly.